GCGGCAGGCUUAACACAUGCAAGUCGAGCGGGGAAAGGUACCUUGCUACCUGACCUAGCGGCGGACGGGUGAGUAAUGCUUAGGAAUCUGCCUAUUAGUGGGGGACAACGUUCCGAAAGGAACGCUAAUACCGCAUACGCCCUACGGGGGAAAGCAGGGGAUCUUCGGACCUUGCGCUAAUAGAUGAGCCUAAGUCGGAUUAGCUAGUUGGUGGGGUAAAGGCCUACCAAGGCGACGAUCUGUAGCGGGUCUGAGAGGAUGAUCCGCCACACUGGGACUGAGACACGGCCCAGACUCCUACGGGAGGCAGCAGUGGGGAAUAUUGGACAAUGGGCGGAAGCCUGAUCCAGCCAUGCCGCGUGUGUGAAGAAGGCCUUUUGGUUGUAAAGCACUUUAAGCGAGGAGGAGGCUCCUUUAGUUAAUACCUAAAGAGAGUGGACGUUACUCGCAGAAUAAGCACCGGCUAACUCUGUGCCAGCAGCCGCGGUAAUACAGAGGGUGCGAGCGUUAAUCGGAUUUACUGGGCGUAAAGCGUGCGUAGGCGGCUUUUUAAGUCGGAUGUGAAAUCCCUGAGCUUAACUUAGGAAUUGCAUUCGAUACUGGAAAGCUAGAGUAUGGGAGAGGAUGGUAGAAUUCCAGGUGUAGCGGUGAAAUGCGUAGAGAUCUGGAGGAAUACCGAUGGCGAAGGCAGCCAUCUGGCCUAAUACUGACGCUGAGGUACGAAAGCAUGGGGAGCAAACAGGAUUAGAUACCCUGGUAGUCCAUGCCGUAAACGAUGUCUACUAGCCGUUGGGGCCUUUGAGGCUUUAGUGGCGCAGCUAACGCGAUAAGUAGACCGCCUGGGGAGUACGGUCGCAAGACUAAAACUCAAAUGAAUUGACGGGGGCCCGCACAAGCGGUGGAGCAUGUGGUUUAAUUCGAUGC
This 924-nucleotide ribosomal RNA is filed under the name Acinetobacter schindleri. RNAcentral's name for it is "bacterial SSU rRNA". It matches the Rfam family "Bacterial small subunit ribosomal RNA", at positions 39 to 957 of the family's 1533-position model. Lineage: Bacteria; Pseudomonadati; Pseudomonadota; Gammaproteobacteria; Moraxellales; Moraxellaceae. The record is from RNAcentral.